Molecule: ribosomal RNA, 245 nt
Filed under: uncultured Cellulomonas sp.
Lineage: Bacteria; Bacillati; Actinomycetota; Actinomycetes; Micrococcales; Cellulomonadaceae
Description: partial 16S ribosomal RNA
Rfam family: Bacterial small subunit ribosomal RNA
Source: RNAcentral
UACGUAGGGUGCAAGCGUUGUCCGGAAUUAUUGGGCGUAAAGAGCUCGUAGGCGGUCUGUCGCGUCUGCUGUGAAAACUUCAGGCUCAACCUGGGGCUUGCAGUGGGUACGGGCAGACUAGAGUGCGGUAGGGGUGACUGGAAUUCCUGGUGUAGCGGUGGAAUGCGCAGAUAUCAGGAGGAACACCGAUGGCGAAGGCAGGUCACUGGGCCGCAACUGACGCUGAGGAGCGAAAGCAUGGGGAG